RNAcentral lists this transfer RNA (66 nucleotides) under Machla setosa. Its description in RNAcentral is "tRNA-Leu". Lineage: Eukaryota; Metazoa; Arthropoda; Insecta; Coleoptera; Tenebrionidae. The record is from RNAcentral.
UCUAAUAUGGCAGAAUAGUGCAAUGGACUUAAGCCCCGUAUAUAAAGCCAAUAGCUUUUUUUAGAA